RNAcentral lists this long non-coding RNA (1461 nucleotides) under Triticum aestivum (bread wheat). RNAcentral's name for it is "long non-coding RNA (TAES_LNC002507)". The record is from RNAcentral. Lineage: Eukaryota; Viridiplantae; Streptophyta; Magnoliopsida; Poales; Poaceae.
AGGAGUAUUUUGUUAGACUAAUACUCCAGUAUUUCUGAUAAGAUGUAAAGACAAAUACUCCAGUUGAGAGAAAUAAUAUCUUCAAUAAGGGGUUUGGGGUUACAUCAUUCAUCAACCAUCAUUUGCUCUCUCUCUCUCUCUCUCUCUCUCAUCAUUACAAGGGCUAAGAAGAAGAAGAAACGAAGAAUUUGUACUGAACAAAUGUGCCAGUACAAAUCUCUCUGUUCACUUGUACAUGGUCAUUACAAUAUCUUCAAUCAACCAAGAUACUAUAGACAAAUGCUCCAACAUCCAGCAUAUGGCAUACUCCAACAAAUACUCCAAGAUACUCCAAGUCAAGCAUCUAGGAGUAACAAGCAUCUGGAAAUUCUUUCAGGAUCAAGCAGCUAGGCUUAGCAAAUGUGUUGCUUUCUCCAGGUCCCUAUAGAUUCACAACAAAUUCAGAAGUUAACAACAAUGUUACUGUAUUUUAUCCGAAUUGUACAUAUUAAUGACACCAAAUUCAGAAAUUGACAGCAAAUGGCACUUUAAGAAAUUGACAACAAAUUCCAUAACAAUAAGUUAAAACUGACAAGCCACUCGGCUAUUGGAUGUGAAAUCUCUCUUCAGAUAUGGUUAUCACUUGAUUUUGCAUAAUCCAAAGAAAAUAAAUUAAGUUUAUUAUCUGUUCAUUAAACCAGUCUGUUAAGGAGCAACCUAAAACAUUUUCUGGGUUGUUGUCACACAUCAGAACUAAACCCAAACUGUGGCAUUUCAGUUUUCACACAAGAGUGGCUUGGGUAAAUUGCUAAUCCUAAUUAACAAGUGUGGCUGGCGAGCAAGCUAUGCACGGCAGGCGAAUCUUGGGCAAAAGCGCGAGCAGCUGCUGGGCGGUUUCUAGAUCCACGGGGAAAGGGAGAGAUCCCUAGCUGCCAUGGCCGAUGCAGGCAACAAGGAGCAGGGGAUUCUGUACUGCACAAGUAGCAGAGAUCGGCGAAGGAGAAAAGGAGGAGGAGGUGCUACCUGCUCUGCUUGCUUCUGGGCGGGCGACGGAGUUUGCAGAUGCUCGGAACGGCGGCGGUGGCGUGGGGGAAGGAACUGGACGGGAAGACGGGAAGGAAAGAUGCAAUGGGGAAGGGGAAGGGCAGGAGGCGUCCAGGUCACAGCCGAUGCCGUCGUCCACAUGGGCUCGCUCAUCACCGCCGUCGUCCACAUGGCCUCCAGGACAUGAGCGCUGCCACCGUAGCCGGCAAAUAGAGCGCUUUGCAGAGAAGGGGAUCCCCCUUUCCUCUUGAACUCCCCUCCCCUCCCCCCCUGUCGGGAUCAGGAAACGCCGACGAAGAAAGGCGGCGAGAUGAGGGGAAGAAGGCAGCCGGGCGCGCGGCGAGGCGACGGAGAAGGAGGCCGCGGGAGAGGACGUCACCACGGCCGUCGCAAGAUCUAGGGGGAGCGGUGCGGGCUGCGUCGUCUGUCGGAUUAAAC